AUGUGUGGGGUGUCACACUCCCCAGACAGGGAGGGAAUUCUUUUUGGUAAAUGCCAUCUCAUUUACCAUGUCCUGCCCCAUUUGCUUUCCUUUGCAGUAGAAGAUGCCUCAAGCCAAAAGGAGGAAGGAGAGGUGGCAUCUCCAGACCUGGCCAAGGCAAACCUCAGGGUGUGUGAAGACCCACCCCCACUGAAAGGGCCAGAUGUCAUCAUGCCUAUCCUCAAGGAUGAUGGGUCCUACAUGCUCUGUGGAUUUUGGGCAGAUGAUGAUGCUGAAGCUCCAAUCUGGGCCUGUGUUGGGGCCUGGCAUCCUACAAUCCAGCAGCCCAUCUGCUGUACUGAGGCCAUUGUGGGGUGUGUGGAGACCCACCCCCACUGGAAGGGCCAGAUGCCAUCGUGCCUAUCCUCAAGGAUGACGGAUCCUACCUGCUCUGUGGAUACUGGGCUGAUGAGCCUGAAGCACCAGUCCAGGCCUGGGCUGGAGCCUGGCACUUUACAACCCAGCAGCCCAUCUUCUGUGCUGAGGACACUUUGGUGGAAGAGCCCUCAUUUCAAGAGGAGGAAGGUGUGGUGGCACCUGCAGACCAGGCCGAGGCUAAUCAGAGCCUCUGCUCUGCAUCACACCUCAGGGUGUGUGAAGAUCCACCCCCACUGGAAGGGCCAGAUGUCAUUGUGCCUAUUCUCAAGGAUGAUGGAUCCUACAUGCUCUGUGCAGUUUGGAUGGAUGAUCCUGAAGUGCCGGUCCAGGCCUGGGCUAGGGCCUGGCACCCUACAACCCAGCAACCCAUCUGCUGUGCUGAGGCCAUUGUGGUGAAAGAUGCCACCUACCAAAAAGAGAAAGUCAUGUUGGCAACUGCUGAUUGGGCUGAGGCUACCUCCAGGGUGGGUGGAGAUCCACCACCACUGGAAAGGCCAGAUGCCAUUGUGCCCAUCCUCAAGGAUGAUGGAUCCUACAUGCUCUGUGCAUAUUGGGCUGAUGAGCCUGAAGCCCCAGUCCAGGCCUGGGCUGGGGCCCUGCACCCUACAGCCCAGCAGCCCAUCUGCUGUGCGGAGGCCAUUGUGGUUUCCCUCCUUGCAGUGGAAGAUGCCUCCAGCCAGAAGGAGAAAAUAGAGGUGGCAUCUGCAGAGCAGACUGCAGUGGAAGAGCCCUCAUCACAAGAGGAGGAAGGGAAGGUGGCACGUGCAGACCAGGCUGAGGCUAAUCAGAGGGUGUGUGGAGAUCCACCCCCACUGGAAGGGCCAGAUGCCAUUGUGCCUAUCCUCAAGGAUGACGGAUCCUACCUGCUCUGUGGAUACUGGGCUGAUGAGCCUGAAGCACCAGCCCAGGUCUGGGCUGAGGCCUGGCAUGCAAAAACCCAGCAGCCCAUCUGCUGUGCUGAGGCUUUUUGGGUGAGUCCUUAGAUGUGAAUCUUGCUGCAGACCUGUCAAAGUGCCCGAGUGGACUCCUAUGACCCAGGCCUGCUUGCUGUUACUCCCCAGGGAAAGGUGGUGAUGUGGCAGGCUGUCCCCUGGGCUAUAUCUGGAUGGACAGAGGCAGAACCCAUGGUGGAGUUUGCAGCACAGUUGUAGUGUGGCUGGUGUGUCUUAGCCUCAUAGUCCCAGGAUAUGCCCCCCUUUCUGACACUGACACUGGCCUUGUUGUGCCUGAAGCACAUG
Oryctolagus cuniculus (rabbit) is the source of this 1655-nucleotide long non-coding RNA. The record is from Ensembl. Lineage: Eukaryota; Metazoa; Chordata; Mammalia; Lagomorpha; Leporidae.